AGUGAACGCUGGCGAUAGGCCUAACACAUGCAAGUCGAACGGCAGCACAGUAAGAGCUUGCUCUUACGGGUGGCGAGUGGCGGACGGGUGAGGAAUACAUCGGAAUCUACUUUUUCGUGGGGGAUAACGUAGGGAAACUUACGCUAAUACCGCAUACGACCUACGGGUGAAAGCAGGGGAUCUUCGGACCUUGCACGAUUGAAUGAGCCGAUGUCGGAUUAGCUAGUUGGCGGGGUAAAGGCCCACCAAGGCGACGAUCCGUAGCUGGUCUGAGAGGAUGAUCAGCCACACUGGAACUGAGACACGGUCCAGACUCCUACGGGAGGCAGCAGUGGGGAAUAUUGGACAAUGGGCGCAAGCCUGAUCCAGCCAUACCGCGUGGGUGAAGAAGGCCUUCGGGUUGUAAAGCCCUUUUGUUGGGAAAGAAAAGCAGCAGGUUAAUACCCCGCUGUUCUGACGGUACCCAAAGAAUAAGCACCGGCUAACUUCGUG
Molecule: ribosomal RNA, 492 nt
Filed under: uncultured bacterium
Lineage: Bacteria
Description: partial 16S ribosomal RNA
Rfam family: Bacterial small subunit ribosomal RNA
Source: RNAcentral